GGGUUGUGAGGUUAAGCGACUAAGCGUACACGGUGGAUGCCCUGGCAGUCAGAGGCGAUGAAGGGCGUGCUAAUCUGCGAUAAGCGCCGGUAAGGUGAUAUGAACCGUUAUAACCGGCGAUACCCGAAUGGGGAAACCCAGUGUGACUCGUCACACUAUCAUUAACUGAAUCCAUAGGUUAAUGAGGCGAACCGGGGGAACUGAAACAUCUAAGUACCCCGAGGAAAAUAAAUCAACCGAGAUUCCCCCAGUAGCGGCGAGCGAACGGGGAGGAGCCCAGAGCCUGAAUCAGCAUGUGUGUUAGUGGAAGCGUCUGGAAAGGCGCGCGAUACAGGGUGACAGCCCCGUACACAAAAGCGCAUGUGCUGUGAGCUCGAUGAGUAGGGCGGGACACGUGGUAUCCUGUCUGAAUAUGGGGGGACCAUCCUCCAAGGCUAAAUACUCCUGACUGACCGAUAGUGAACCAGUACCGUGAGGGAAAGGCGAAAAGAACCCCGGCGAGGGGAGUGAAAAAGAACCUGAAACCGUGUACGUACAAGCAGUGGGAGCCCCACCACCAAAGCAUUCUCUGGUGUUGAAGGCCCUGCAAAGCAGCAUCGCGGUGGCGGAGCGUCGUUUGCGACGCCCAACACACAAAACAAGCGGUGAGUGCUUUGGGGUGGGGUGACUGCGUACCUUUUGUAUAAUGGGUCAGCGACUUAUAUUCUGUAGCAAGGUUAACCGAAUAGGGGAGCCGGAGGGAAACCGAGUCUUAAUUGGGCGUUAAGUUGCAGGGUAUAGACCCGAAACCCGGUGAUCUAGCCAUGGGCAGGUUGAAGGUUGGGUAACACUAACUGGAGGACCGAACCGACUAAUGUUGAAAAAUUAGCGGAUGACCUGUGGCUGGGGGUGAAAGGCCAAUCAAACCGGGAGAUAGCUGGUUCUCCCCGAAAGCUAUUUAGGUAGCGCCUCGUGAAUUCAUCUCCGGGGGUAGAGCACUGUUUCGGCUAGGGGGUCAUCCCGACUUACCAACCCGAUGCAAACUGCGAAUACCGGAGAAUGUUAUCACGGGAGACACACGGCGGGUGCUAACGUCCGUCGUGAAGAGGGAAACAACCCAGACCGCCAGCUAAGGUCCCAAAGUCAUGGUUAAGUGGGAAACGAUGUGGGAAGGCCCAGACAGCCAGGAUGUUGGCUUAGAAGCAGCCAUCAUUUAAAGAAAGCGUAAUAGCUCACUGGUCGAGUCGGCCUGCGCGGAAGAUGUAACGGGGCUAAACCAUGCACCGAAGCUGCGGCAGCGAACGUAUCACUUAAAGCGAUUCAGCGGGUUACGAUUGACGGA
Molecule: ribosomal RNA, 1321 nt
Filed under: Salmonella enterica
Lineage: Bacteria; Pseudomonadati; Pseudomonadota; Gammaproteobacteria; Enterobacterales; Enterobacteriaceae
Description: partial 23S ribosomal RNA
Rfam family: Bacterial large subunit ribosomal RNA
Source: RNAcentral